Molecule: ribosomal RNA, 732 nt
Filed under: Klebsiella pneumoniae
Lineage: Bacteria; Pseudomonadati; Pseudomonadota; Gammaproteobacteria; Enterobacterales; Enterobacteriaceae
Description: bacterial SSU rRNA
Rfam family: Bacterial small subunit ribosomal RNA
Source: RNAcentral
ACUUAAAUUGAAGAGUUUGAUCAUGGCUCAGAUUGAACGCUGGCGGCAGGCCUAACACAUGCAAGUCGAGCGGUAGCACAGAGAGCUUGCUCUCGGGUGACGAGCGGCGGACGGGUGAGUAAUGUCUGGGAAACUGCCUGAUGGAGGGGGAUAACUACUGGAAACGGUAGCUAAUACCGCAUAACGUCGCAAGACCAAAGUGGGGGACCUUCGGGCCUCAUGCCAUCAGAUGUGCCCAGAUGGGAUUAGCUAGUAGGUGGGGUAACGGCUCACCUAGGCGACGAUCCCUAGCUGGUCUGAGAGGAUGACCAGCCACACUGGAACUGAGACACGGUCCAGACUCCUACGGGAGGCAGCAGUGGGGAAUAUUGCACAAUGGGCGCAAGCCUGAUGCAGCCAUGCCGCGUGUGUGAAGAAGGCCUUCGGGUUGUAAAGCACUUUCAGCGGGGAGGAAGGCGUUAAGGUUAAUAACCUCAUCGAUUGACGUUACCCGCAGAAGAAGCACCGGCUAACUCCGUGCCAGCAGCCGCGGUAAUACGGAGGGUGCAAGCGUUAAUCGGAAUUACUGGGCGUAAAGCGCACGCAGGCGGUCUGUCAAGUCGGAUGUGAAAUCCCCGGGCUCAACCUGGGAACUGCAUUCGAAACUGGCAGGCUAGAGUCUUGUAGAGGGGGGUAGAAUUCCAGGUGUAGCGGUGAAAUGCGUAGAGAUCUGGAGGAAUACCGGUGGCGAAG